AGUCGUAACAAGGUUCCGUAGGUGAACCUGCGG
Molecule: ribosomal RNA, 33 nt
Filed under: Debaryomyces vindobonensis
Lineage: Eukaryota; Fungi; Ascomycota; Pichiomycetes; Serinales; Debaryomycetaceae
Description: partial 18S ribosomal RNA
Source: RNAcentral